UGCGUAGGUGGUUAUGUGUGUCGGAUGUGAAAGCCCAGGGCUCAACCCUGGAAGUGCAUCCGAAACUGCAAAACUAGAGUACAGGAGGGAGAGCGGAAUUCUUGGUGUAGCGGUGAAAUGCGUUGAUAUCAAGAAGAACAUCGGAGGCGAAGGCGGCUCUCUGGAAUGUAACUGACACUGAGGCACGAAAGGUUGGGGAGCGAAGA
RNAcentral lists this ribosomal RNA (206 nucleotides) under uncultured bacterium. RNAcentral's name for it is "partial 16S ribosomal RNA". It matches the Rfam family "Bacterial small subunit ribosomal RNA", at positions 568 to 774 of the family's 1533-position model. The record is from RNAcentral.